UACAGCAACACCUACAUCAUGUUUUCUAACUCUUUUCUGGAUUCCAGCUCUCAGUUCUGAGGUUGACAGAUCCCUGGAUUACAUGAACUGUCAAUUUGUAAGCCUGCAUGCUUGGAGACUAUGGAACUGGUGCAAAUUUCCCCCUCUGCCAUUUAAAUCUCCUACUGAGUUUUCAACAUGAAACUCAAACUGGAAGCACUGGAAGGAGGAGAAAUGUGAGAAAGAAGUGAAUAAAGUGCUCAAAACAUGAAGGAGUUGGAACAUGCUUUGGAAGAGAAGCAUCCAGUUUACUCUUCCUACAUGCACAGGACUGUCUGGCCAGGAGGAAAAAUGAAAUCUGUCUACCAAACAACCUCAAGCCUGCGUUGUAAGGAUACUAUAGGAGGGGAAAAUGUGGAAAACUACUUGGUGUGCGUCUGUAAGGCUUGGGAUUGAGGCUCUUGUGCCUCAAACACAGCCAUAAUUGUAAGUUCUGAGUAUGUAUAUUCUAUUGCUACAUCUUACCACGUGUGAAUUUUGUGUUAAAAAGGGCUUUAAACUUGAUCUUUAUUUUAUUAUGCUAAUUUUUUGUUAAUUCUUUAGUGUCUUUCACACAAAAUGAUUGUUUUUUACUGUCAGCCUUAACCCCAUUUUAACUCAAGUUUUCAUCCAAAGGGAAAAGUUUUAUAUUUUAUGACUUUCUCUCUUCAUUUGUGCAGAGUUAAAUUUUUGUUAUGCAUUUAUUAAUAGUAAUUGCUUCUGGAAACUGAUUGUUUUGUUAGUAAUAUUUUUGUAUAUUUUAAGGUUGGAAAUAUCAUAAUAAAAAGGAAAAGAAAAACA
RNAcentral lists this long non-coding RNA (819 nucleotides) under Dromaius novaehollandiae (emu). RNAcentral's name for it is "lncRNA (ENSDNVG00000013960.1)". Lineage: Eukaryota; Metazoa; Chordata; Aves; Casuariiformes; Dromaiidae. The record is from RNAcentral.